Molecule: unclassified non-coding RNA, 497 nt
Filed under: Bombus terrestris (buff-tailed bumblebee)
Lineage: Eukaryota; Metazoa; Arthropoda; Insecta; Hymenoptera; Apidae
Description: misc RNA ENSBTSG00005031910.1
Source: RNAcentral
AAUAUAUCAAAGAAAGUAGGUCUGUUGACUGAGACUCCAUCCGCCUGUAAUCCUGGCCCACUUGCUAUAAUUUUGCUAGGAUCAGCCGCUGGUGUUUCUACAUUCACCACGUAUGGACUUUUUGGAAUUUCUCUUCCGGCGUACAGUAUUUUUACUUUAUGCGGCGAUGGCGUCUUCGGAGUAUAUAACACGGAAUAGGCAUAACCACGUGCCAACCCUCUUUUCAAGGCUGAAAGGCAGCAAAAUAGAGUUAUCUAUCUACUAAAUCAUGCAUAAAAAUCGUGUUACAUAUUUUUAUAUCAAGGUUGUAAUAAAAUGAAUUUCAAUUAAUUCGAGUGCUGUAACUGUUGCAAAAAAGAAAAGAAAUGUAGAGAAGUAAGAAUAAACUAUUACAUCACGUGUAUCCUGGCUUGUAAUCAAUUUAUGAUUAUGAUACAAAUGUAGCAAUUUCCGGAAUGGUGGUCAACCACAUUAUACAUGGCAAGUAGAUAAAUGGG